AGCUUAUCUUUCAUGUAAUACCAUUGCUACCUCUAUUUUGAAUUACAAAAAUGUUACUCCCUCGCAGGAAUUUUCUUUUUUAUUUUUUGUUGUAGAAAGAUAGAGCCGGAAGCAGAAACAUAACUGGGACGUUUCCGGUGAAAAAGGAGUCGGUAGAACAUUAUGAGGAAAACCGUGGAUCGAUAGGUGUUCAAUAGGACACAUAGGAGCAGGCUUCAAGGAUCGGACAAACACUGGUGAAACUAAAAAGGGAUCAACGAAAAAUGGAAAGAGAACUAGCUUGCACUUCUGUGGAACCGUCGAACGAGCCGUCAAAUGACACGCGACUGAUUGCCUUUGCGUCUCAUUGAGAACCGACUGAACCUGAGUGAAGCGAACUGGAGCUCUUUUUCUUAGUCUAAAGCGUUUCUCUAGACGCGUCAUCAACACCUUGAUCUUCGGAAGACUCCUAUACGAAAUAGUAACUCAUUCCAAAUCGUUUGUUUACUGAAUCAAACACAUUCAGAACUCCGUGGCCCAACACCUUGAAAUUUCGUCAAGUAUUGCUUUCACCGACUGACCCUGUUCGAUAACGCCGCUCGAGUGACAAUGUAUGAUAUGCUAGUCGAAUCGUCUUAUAGUUUAAGAUCCACACCGUAGGAUAAUUCGUUAAUACCCCUAUUUCUCCGCUGCAUUUCUAAUCUAUAAUUUACGACAGUAUCCUGUACAUUGUAUCCGAUACAUUCAAACGUCUGAAAGAUCGUUAAAGCAAAGAAGACGGCCGUCGGUAGCAACGAAACAUCGGACCACUACACGGGACAACACCAAAAUUGUGUCGGAUUCUGUGGUGUUCCCAGCGAUCUCUAGCAGCCCCUUGGAGGAUCUGCAUCCGAUCCUUGAUCCCUUCGUGUGUUUUCUGCCCAACAGCAACAAGGCCGUUAAUAACCGCCGUACAGCUAUGCCGCGUCUGCGUUGAUUCAGAAAACACGUGUCGCCUACGGCUAAUGAGUGAAACUGCAGGACGUCACUAUCACCCUGACAAAAUACUGAAAAAAACUCGUAUGAUUCCUAACAGAUGACAUAGCGUGCUCUAAUGUGUU
Varroa destructor (honeybee mite) is the source of this 1079-nucleotide long non-coding RNA. Lineage: Eukaryota; Metazoa; Arthropoda; Arachnida; Mesostigmata; Varroidae. The record is from RefSeq and is a predicted model, not a curated record.